CCUUGGAAGAUGGCUGUGAGCACGGUGGCCACCAUGUGGGUGGCGUGCCACUUGGUGGAACCUGGCGAGGCGGCGCAGCCGGUGGCGGCCCCGAUUAUGGUGAGGGCAUGGAGGAAGAUGAGGAGGAGGCCGCAAGGUGAGGGGAUGAGGCGGAGGGAGAGGGUGAGGAAGAUGCAGCUGGAGGCAGCACCGAGGAGGAUGUAGUUGCAGAGGAGGAAGACCUUGUGUGAGUGAUA
RNAcentral lists this long non-coding RNA (236 nucleotides) under Elaeis guineensis (African oil palm). RNAcentral's name for it is "long non-coding RNA (EGUI_LNC018551)". Lineage: Eukaryota; Viridiplantae; Streptophyta; Magnoliopsida; Arecales; Arecaceae. The record is from RNAcentral.